Molecule: unclassified non-coding RNA, 377 nt
Filed under: uncultured Gammaproteobacteria bacterium
Lineage: Bacteria; Pseudomonadati; Pseudomonadota; Gammaproteobacteria
Description: contains 16S-23S intergenic spacer region
Source: RNAcentral
UCCGGUUCAACACCGGCAGUCCCCUUAGAGUCCCCAGCUUUACCUGCUGGCAACUAAGGGCAAGGGUUGCGCUCGUUACGGGACUUAACCCAACAUCUCACAACACGAGCUGACGACAGCCAUGCAGCACCUGUCUCUAAGUUCCUUUCGGCACUCCCAACUCUCAUCGGGAUUCUUAGGAUGUCAAGGGUAGGUAAGGUUCUUCGCGUUGCAUCGAAUUAAACCACAUGCUCCACCGCUUGUGCGGGCCCCCGUCAAUUCAUUUGAGUUUCAACCUUGCGGCCGUACUUCCCAGGCGGAGUACUUAUCGCGUUAGCUUCGAUACUGCUAAGUUCCCCUAGCAACAUCUAGUACUCAUCGUUUACAGCGUGGACUAC